Small nucleolar RNA from Pungitius pungitius (ninespine stickleback), 177 nucleotides. RefSeq annotates it as small nucleolar RNA SNORA81. Lineage: Eukaryota; Metazoa; Chordata; Actinopteri; Perciformes; Gasterosteidae. The record is from RefSeq and is a predicted model, not a curated record. The transcript has a single exon.
ACCCUUCUGCAUAAAAAGAAGUCUGCUAUAAUUGUGUGAUUCAUCAUCUGUUUCAUGCAAUAAUGCUAGCAGACUAUGGCGCAGAAGGAGAUUAUGACUCGCUGCACUGAAAAUGAGACUUUGUCGAACCGCUUUCUUAAUGUUCAUUGGCUUGUCUCAAGGUGCAGCGCAACAAUU